AUUGAACGCUAGCGGGAUGCCUUACACAUGCAAGUCGAACGGAGUGGCGAACGGGUGAGUAAGGUAUCGGAACGUGCCCAGUACCGGUGGAUAACUACGCGAAAGCGUAGCUAAUACCGCAUACUUUUGCAGCGGCCGAUAUCGGCUUAGCCAGUUGGUGUGGUAACGGCUCACCAAGGCGACGAUCCGUAGCUGGGUUGAGAGGACGACCAGCCACACUGGGACUGAGACACGGCCCAGACUCCUACGGGAGGCAGCAGUGAGGAAUUUUGGACAAUGGGGGAAACCCUGAUCCAGCCAUCCCGCGUGUGCGAUGAAGGCCUUCGGGUUGUAAAGCACUUUUGGCAGGAAAGCGGUACCUGCAGAAUAAGCACCGGCUAACUACGUGCCAGCAGCCGCGGUAAUUC
Molecule: ribosomal RNA, 407 nt
Filed under: uncultured bacterium
Lineage: Bacteria
Description: partial 16S ribosomal RNA
Rfam family: Bacterial small subunit ribosomal RNA
Source: RNAcentral